GGUGGCUCAGUGGUAGAGUGCCUGCCUCGCAUGCAUGAGGUCCUGGGUUCGAUUCCUCAGCACCA
RNAcentral lists this transfer RNA (65 nucleotides) under Dipodomys ordii (Ord's kangaroo rat). It matches the Rfam family "tRNA". Rfam says of the family: Transfer RNA (tRNA) molecules are approximately 80 nucleotides in length. Their secondary structure includes four short double-helical elements and three loops (D, anti-codon, and T loops). Lineage: Eukaryota; Metazoa; Chordata; Mammalia; Rodentia; Heteromyidae. The record is from Rfam by way of RNAcentral.